CCUACGGGAGGCAGCAGUGGGGAAUAUUGGACAAUGGGGGCGAACCCUGAUCCAGCAAUGCCGCGUGAGUGAUGAAGGCCUUCGGGUUGUAAAGCUCUUUUA
RNAcentral lists this ribosomal RNA (102 nucleotides) under uncultured Allostella sp. RNAcentral's name for it is "uncultured Stella sp. partial 16S ribosomal RNA". It matches the Rfam family "Bacterial small subunit ribosomal RNA", at positions 338 to 438 of the family's 1533-position model. Lineage: Bacteria; Pseudomonadati; Pseudomonadota; Alphaproteobacteria; Rhodospirillales; Allostellaceae. The record is from RNAcentral.